UGCAGAAGCGAUGUGCUGCGGGUGUCAGCCAUGUCAGUGAAGGGCCGAGCGUAAGAGCAGGGUGCCGAAGGCGUCGGCUGCACCCAGAAACUGCCCAGUGUGGAAGCAACAUGCCACAGGUGUCAGCCGAGCCGGGAAGAGCCUGGCGCAGGAGCAACGUGCCAUAGGUUAUAGCUGAGCCAGGGAAGGGCCGAGCGCAACAGUGACGUGCCGUAGGUAUUGGCUGAGCGCAAGAGCAACGUGCCAUAGGUUAUAGCUGAGCCAGGGAAGGGCCGAGCGCAACAGUGACGUGCCGUAGGUAUUGGCUGAGCGCAAGAGCAACGUGCCGUAGGUAUUGGCCGAGCGCAAGAGCAACGUGCCGUAGGUAUUGACUGAGCCAGGGAAGGGCUGAGUGCAACAGUGACGUGCUGUAGGUAUUGGCUGAGUGCAAGAGCGAUGUGCCGUAGGUAUUGGUUGAGCGCAAGAGCGACGUGCCGUAGGUAUUGGCUGAGCGCAAGAGCGACGUGCCGUAGGUAUUGGCUGAGCCAGGGAAGGGCUGAGCUCAAGAGCGACGUGCUGUAGGUAUUGGCUCAGCGCAAGAGCGACGUGCCAUAGGUAUUGGCUGAGCCAGGGAAGGGCUGAGCUCAAGAGCGACGUGCUGUAGGUAUUGGCUGAGUGCAAGAGCGAUGUGCCGUAGGUAUUGGCUGAGUGCAAGAGCGAUGUGCCGUAGGUAUUGGCUGAGCGCAAGAGCGACGUGCCGUAGGUAUUGGCUGAGCGCAAGAGCGA
Brienomyrus brachyistius is the source of this 765-nucleotide long non-coding RNA. RefSeq lists it as uncharacterized. NCBI's taxonomy places the organism in Eukaryota, Metazoa, Chordata, Actinopteri, Osteoglossiformes, Mormyridae. The transcript has 3 exons. The record is from RefSeq and is a predicted model, not a curated record.